UACAGAGGGGGCAAGCGUUGUUCGGAAUUACUGGGCGUAAAGGGCGCGUAGGCGGCCUUCUAAGUCGAACGUGAAAUCCCCGGGCUCAACCCGGGAACUGCGUCCGAUACUGGAAGGCUUGAAUCCGGGAGAGGGAUGCGGAAUUCCAGGUGUAGCGGUGAAAUGCGUAGAUAUCUGGAGGAACACCGGUGGCGAAGGCGGCGUCCUGGACCGGCAUUGACGCUGAGGCGCGAAAGCCAGGGGAGCAAACGGG
RNAcentral lists this ribosomal RNA (253 nucleotides) under uncultured bacterium. RNAcentral describes it as "partial 16S ribosomal RNA". It matches the Rfam family "Bacterial small subunit ribosomal RNA", at positions 524 to 776 of the family's 1533-position model. The record is from RNAcentral.